Long non-coding RNA from Anthonomus grandis grandis, 536 nucleotides. RefSeq lists it as uncharacterized. The record is from RefSeq and is a predicted model, not a curated record. NCBI's taxonomy places the organism in Eukaryota, Metazoa, Arthropoda, Insecta, Coleoptera, Curculionidae. The transcript has 2 exons.
CCUUAUUUAUUUCGCACUAGCAAAUUCUCACUGAAACACUUAUCCGUACCAAAUCAAACAAUGCUUUUUCCUCCCAACAUAUGGGUGAUAACUAGUUAUUAAGACUAAAACACGAAAUAUCUUGGUAAUAGUUAAUUUUAGCGUGUUCUAACAAAAGUACCUACUCAAAAACGUUAGGUAACAAUUGUCAAAGUGGUUUGUCACAAAAUGUUAAAAAAAUGAAAUAAAACCGAUUUUUAUUUUUUAAAUUUAACACCCUAUAACUAAGAAACAAACAACUUUGGACUAAGUGUAUUCAAGACACUUAAUUUUUUACGAGGGGACAUAUGUAAGAAGGACAUUCCAGAUCCAGCCUGUCACAGUAUUGCAUGUGAGAUCUCUCAAGAAAAAAAAGACGGUAUAAUACAAAAUUUAUUGGGACUCAUGGAAGAUAACAGAAAGGACUUUUGGUUAAACUUGCCAGUUACUACUAACACUCACAUUGUUACGAAAAAUACGACGUAAUAGAAAGAAAUCUAAAUAAAAUAUUAGUUUUC